This 2903-nucleotide ribosomal RNA is filed under the name Escherichia coli. Its description in RNAcentral is "23S ribosomal RNA". It matches the Rfam family "Bacterial large subunit ribosomal RNA". The record is from RNAcentral. Lineage: Bacteria; Pseudomonadati; Pseudomonadota; Gammaproteobacteria; Enterobacterales; Enterobacteriaceae.
GGUUAAGCGACUAAGCGUACACGGUGGAUGCCCUGGCAGUCAGAGGCGAUGAAGGACGUGCUAAUCUGCGAUAAGCGUCGGUAAGGUGAUAUGAACCGUUAUAACCGGCGAUUUCCGAAUGGGGAAACCCAGUGUGAUUCGUCACACUAUCAUUAACUGAAUCCAUAGGUUAAUGAGGCGAACCGGGGGAACUGAAACAUCUAAGUACCCCGAGGAAAAGAAAUCAACCGAGAUUCCCCCAGUAGCGGCGAGCGAACGGGGAGCAGCCCAGAGCCUGAAUCAGUGUGUGUGUUAGUGGAAGCGUCUGGAAAGGCGCGCGAUACAGGGUGACAGCCCCGUACACAAAAAUGCACAUGCUGUGAGCUCGAUGAGUAGGGCGGGACACGUGGUAUCCUGUCUGAAUAUGGGGGGACCAUCCUCCAAGGCUAAAUACUCCUGACUGACCGAUAGUGAACCAGUACCGUGAGGGAAAGGCGAAAAGAACCCCGGCGAGGGGAGUGAAAAAGAACCUGAAACCGUGUACGUACAAGCAGUGGGAGCACGCUUAGGCGUGUGACUGCGUACCUUUUGUAUAAUGGGUCAGCGACUUAUAUUCUGUAGCAAGGUUAACCGAAUAGGGGAGCCGAAGGGAAACCGAGUCUUAACUGGGCGUUAAGUUGCAGGGUAUAGACCCGAAACCCGGUGAUCUAGCCAUGGGCAGGUUGAAGGUUGGGUAACACUAACUGGAGGACCGAACCGACUAAUGUUGAAAAAUUAGCGGAUGACUUGUGGCUGGGGGUGAAAGGCCAAUCAAACCGGGAGAUAGCUGGUUCUCCCCGAAAGCUAUUUAGGUAGCGCCUCGUGAAUUCAUCUCCGGGGGUAGAGCACUGUUUCGGCAAGGGGGUCAUCCCGACUUACCAACCCGAUGCAAACUGCGAAUACCGGAGAAUGUUAUCACGGGAGACACACGGCGGGUGCUAACGUCCGUCGUGAAGAGGGAAACAACCCAGACCGCCAGCUAAGGUCCCAAAGUCAUGGUUAAGUGGGAAACGAUGUGGGAAGGCCCAGACAGCCAGGAUGUUGGCUUAGAAGCAGCCAUCAUUUAAAGAAAGCGUAAUAGCUCACUGGUCGAGUCGGCCUGCGCGGAAGAUGUAACGGGGCUAAACCAUGCACCGAAGCUGCGGCAGCGACGCUUAUGCGUUGUUGGGUAGGGGAGCGUUCUGUAAGCCUGUGAAGGUGUACUGUGAGGUAUGCUGGAGGUAUCAGAAGUGCGAAUGCUGACAUAAGUAACGAUAAAGCGGGUGAAAAGCCCGCUCGCCGGAAGACCAAGGGUUCCUGUCCAACGUUAAUCGGGGCAGGGUGAGUCGACCCCUAAGGCGAGGCCGAAAGGCGUAGUCGAUGGGAAACAGGUUAAUAUUCCUGUACUUGGUGUUACUGCGAAGGGGGGACGGAGAAGGCUAUGUUGGCCGGGCGACGGUUGUCCCGGUUUAAGCGUGUAGGCUGGUUUUCCAGGCAAAUCCGGAAAAUCAAGGCUGAGGCGUGAUGACGAGGCACUACGGUGCUGAAGCAACAAAUGCCCUGCUUCCAGGAAAAGCCUCUAAGCAUCAGGUAACAUCAAAUCGUACCCCAAACCGACACAGGUGGUCAGGUAGAGAAUACCAAGGCGCUUGAGAGAACUCGGGUGAAGGAACUAGGCAAAAUGGUGCCGUAACUUCGGGAGAAGGCACGCUGAUAUGUAGGUGAAGCGACUUGCUCGUGGAGCUGAAAUCAGUCGAAGAUACCAGCUGGCUGCAACUGUUUAUUAAAAACACAGCACUGUGCAAACACGAAAGUGGACGUAUACGGUGUGACGCCUGCCCGGUGCCGGAAGGUUAAUUGAUGGGGUCAGCGCAAGCGAAGCUCUUGAUCGAAGCCCCGGUAAACGGCGGCCGUAACUAUAACGGUCCUAAGGUAGCGAAAUUCCUUGUCGGGUAAGUUCCGACCUGCACGAAUGGCGUAAUGAUGGCCAGGCUGUCUCCACCCGAGACUCAGUGAAAUUGAACUCGCUGUGAAGAUGCAGUGUACCCGCGGCAAGACGGAAAGACCCCGUGAACCUUUACUAUAGCUUGACACUGAACAUUGAGCCUUGAUGUGUAGGAUAGGUGGGAGGCUUUGAAGUGUGGACGCCAGUCUGCAUGGAGCCGACCUUGAAAUACCACCCUUUAAUGUUUGAUGUUCUAACGUUGACCCGUGAUCCGGGUUGCGGACAGUGUCUGGUGGGUAGUUUGACUGGGGCGGUCUCCUCCUAAAGAGUAACGGAGGAGCACGAAGGUUGGCUAAUCCUGGUCGGACAUCAGGAGGUUAGUGCAAUGGCAUAAGCCAGCUUGACUGCGAGCGUGACGGCGCGAGCAGGUGCGAAAGCAGGUCAUAGUGAUCCGGUGGUUCUGAAUGGAAGGGCCAUCGCUCAACGGAUAAAAGGUACUCCGGGGAUAACAGGCUGAUACCGCCCAAGAGUUCAUAUCGACGGCGGUGUUUGGCACCUCGAUGUCGGCUCAUCACAUCCUGGGGCUGAAGUAGGUCCCAAGGGUAUGGCUGUUCGCCAUUUAAAGUGGUACGCGAGCUGGGUUUAGAACGUCGUGAGACAGUUCGGUCCCUAUCUGCCGUGGGCGCUGGAGAACUGAGGGGGCUGCUCCUAGUACGAGAGGACCGGAGUGGACGCAUCACUGGUGUUCGGGUUGUCAUGCCAAUGGCACUGCCCGGUAGCUAAAUGCGGAAGAGAUAAGUGCUGAAAGCAUCUAAGCACGAAACUUGCCCCGAGAUGAGUUCUCCCUGACUCCUUGAGAGUCCUGAAGGAACGUUGAAGACGACGACGUUGAUAGGCCGGGUGUGUAAGCGCAGCGAUGCGUUGAGCUAACCGGUACUAAUGAACCGUGAGGCUUAACCUU